Molecule: ribosomal RNA, 536 nt
Filed under: uncultured Bacteroidales bacterium
Lineage: Bacteria; Pseudomonadati; Bacteroidota; Bacteroidia; Bacteroidales
Description: bacterial SSU rRNA
Rfam family: Bacterial small subunit ribosomal RNA
Source: RNAcentral
CGUAUGCAGUCCGAAGCAGUCAUCUAAUUUGGACGAAAGGUAUAUUCUAUCGGUAAUGGAUGGGGAUGCGUCCGAUUAGCCAGCCGGCGGGGUAACGGCCCACCGGGGCAUUGAUCGGUAGGGGUUCUGAGAGGAAGGUCCCCCACACUGGAACUGAGACACGGUCCAGACUCCUACGGGAGGCAGCAGUGAGGAAUAUUGGUCAAUGGGCGUAAGCCUGAACCAGCCAAGUAGCGUGCAGGAUGACGGCCCUAUGGGUUGUAAACUGCUUUUAUGCGGGGAUAAAGUUGGGGACGUGUCCCUUUUUGCAGGUACCGCAUGAAUAAGGACCGGCUAAUUCCGUGCCAGCAGCCGCGGUAAUACGGAAGGUCCGGGCGUUAUCCGGAUUUAUUGGGUUUAAAGGGAGCGUAGGCAGUUUUUUAAGCGUGCUGUGAAAUGUACCGGCUCAACCGGUGAUGUGCAGCGCGAACUGGGAAUCUUGAGUACGCAGUAAGCAGGCGGAAUUCGUGGUGUAGCGGUGAAUGCUUAGAUAUCAC